Syngnathus typhle (broad-nosed pipefish) is the source of this 3253-nucleotide RNA transcript. It is a transcript of the gene named urotensin-2 receptor 2, with no coding region annotated. Lineage: Eukaryota; Metazoa; Chordata; Actinopteri; Syngnathiformes; Syngnathidae. The transcript is spliced from 16 exons. The record is from RefSeq and is a predicted model, not a curated record.
UGUCUAACGCGCGCCAAACCGGAAAUAGAAAAGGAUUCGGGUGCUCGUGGCGCGGCUGCUAAGCAAUGUUUAUAGAAUGAUUAGCAGUCAAAGCAAGCACAAUAUUCUUUCAUGACAGCGUGUUUAGAAAGCAAAACGACAGGCUACAAUUUUAAUGGCGCCAGUACGACAGCGAAAUGCGAAAGGCCUGAAUUCUACAGAGAUAGGGAAGAAAAUCAAAAGGGGCAAUGCACUGCGGCAGGGCACUGCUUGGUGGACUUCCAGAAGCCUAACCGCUUUGUUGCUGGUUAGUCUUUGUUUGUGUGGGGCAGCAGCAUGGCUAUAUGUCACGUCCUUGGAUAGUGGCAUAACGGAAACAUUGGUCAGCCAGCGUGAGCAUGUGUCCCCCAAGCCCAGGGUCUUUAUCGUCCAGUGCUCAGAAGACUAUGAGAACUACAAACGUUACCCAGGAUGCACCCCUCAGAAGUGCGGGCGUGCCGUCGCAGACGGCCUAGUGACGAGGGAGGAAUCUCAGGUCCUAAGGAGCCUGGCUGAGAGGGGACUUCAACUGGCUGGAUCAGAGGGAGGGGCCUCCAUCUUGGAUCUGCACUCAGGAGCAUUGUCAAUGGGGCCACAAUUUGUCAACAUUUACAGAUAUUUUGGCGAACAGAUCCAGGAUGUGUUCACAGAAGAGGAUUUUCAACUUUACAGAGACGUACGCAAGCGAAUCCAAUCCGUAAUUGCUGAGGCGUUUGGUUUGGACCAAACACUGAUGUACCUCACCAAGCCCACCUUCUUCUCCAGGAUCAAUUCUACAAUAGCUAAGACCCAACAUGACGAGUACUGGCACCCGCACAUUGAUAAGGUGACUUAUGGCUCAUUUGAUUACACAUCCCUUCUGUACCUUUCUGACUAUGGCUCUGACUUCACUGGAGGAAGAUUUGUCUUUAUGGACCAAAAUGGCAAUAAGACAGUGGAACCAAAGGCAGUACAAGACCCGAAACGGCAAUCCAAGUGCAGAGUGGUAAAAAAAUGGAGCACAUUGGGGAAAAAAAAUGUCCCUGGACAAAGCUCAAAGCAUCCAUCUCGGCGAAGCUCAAUGCAAAAAGUGAUGCCUGUGCACUUGCACAGUGGGAGAAAAUAUCAAUCAGGAUGAGCGACAGCACCGCACUGACAAGCUUCACGGCUCAUCUCGCCGCUUCUGCAAGCAGUCGACUGAAAUGAGCAUCGCAACUGCCUUUGGGCUCGUAUUGCAACCCUCAAGUGACCGACACCAGUGAAGAUGGGGAGACACUCGUCGACUCCAAGGGUGUUUUCAAGUUUGUGACCCAACCUGAGGAUGUGGGAGUGUCUUUUCUGCAGGUUGCCAAAGACGCGCUUUCGUGUGACUGGAAUUGACCUUUCUCGGCUACCGUACACUUCCGCUUCAGUGGGCAGCUAGCUCUUCAGGUUGCUACCUUUUGGGCUUUCGAGUGAGUCAUGUCAACUUUUUCCAAGCUGUUAAACUUGCUGUAUGUAUGUAAAUGCGUACAUGUAAACAAUGACAUGAAAGGAGAAUAUUUGUUAGUCGUUAGGUCAGUGGAACUCGCUAGCUCUCGUGAAACAAGAGGUGGAGCGUUAGCUUGCACGCCCACAAGCAGCACUCACUCGGCUGUCAAUCAAUGGAUUAUCAAGGAAAGCGUUCGACUUGAACGUUGUUUUUCUGUUUUUCCAUGUCCAACCUUGAAGACUGGAGGCUCCACGUCGGCUGCUGGUCGUCCAUCUAUCUGCAUAUCUCGAAAGACUGGAGGCUCCACGUCGGCUGCUGGUCGUCUGUCUGCUUAUCUCGAAAGACUGGAGGCUCCACGUCGGCUGCUGGUCGGCCAUCUAUCUGCAUAUCUCGAAAGAGUAAAUCACAACAAGUUGGAUUGCAAUCAGCUCAUUGCUGAGUGGUGAAGUGGUCGGCCAGAGGGACGAGUGGUGAAGUGGUCAGCCAGUGGGAUGAGUAUUACGCCAUGCCUGGACCCAAGACAAAAAGAGAUAGGUAAGUAAAAUGCUAAGUCAACGUUUUGUGCAGAAAAGGUUUUGACAUGAAACAUACCAGUGUAGAAGGAGAGUUUGUGACGAGUUUUGGAAGCUGAUUUUGUUCCUUGCUGCAUGACCCAGGAGGUGGAGUUUGUUCCUUGCUUCCUGUCAGAAAGAAAGAAAGAAAGAAAUUAUUGGAAUGAAGGUUAGUAUGCAAUGAGGAGCAUUUAAAUUGCUUUACUUCUCAGGUUGCUGAGGCAGUAACAAGUAAUUGAAGUGCUGCUGGUCUGUAGCUUUGUUCUGGUCCUCAGCUUCUGCUGCGAGUAGGUACUUGAUGGUGCUUCACACUGGACACAAAAAUGGAUUCAAAUUUUUAAACAUGUUGGCUAGAAUAUUUACUUUUCUUACCAGCAGCUGGCUCUUCAGGCAGCACGGAACCAGGUGAACGAGCUCAGAGUAAUUGUGGCUGAAGACAAACUGUGGCAGGCUUUGCACUUUGUCGACCAGAAUUUGUCACCUCUGCCUGGAAAGAAAAAGGAAUAUUGACACAUCAGCUUCAUUUAAGUUCACUGGUUUUAUUUUUUAACUGUAGACUGGAAGCGGAGUUGUUAGAAUGUUCAUACUCUCCAGGGUGGACACCUGCACACAAGACAAACAAGGGACUCAUUGAUCUGCCAUUUUGGCAUGUUUGAGGAAUUUCUGCAUGGUUUUGAGGGCUUUUACCUUUGACAAGCAGGUGGCAGAAUUUCCAACUGCAUCCUUACUGGACCGUGCUUUACAGGAAGAGGGAAGCAUGAAAAAAAGCAGGUAAGUGAUAAACAAUGCCAAGUUUGUAAUUAGUUGUCACCUGUCAGCAGGUUGAUGAUUCCACAGGUUUAAAACCUUGUAGAUCCACACCAGCAGAUUGAUGCUGCAGUAAGUAGAUCCUUUGGCAACACCUGAUUGACAAAAGAAAGAACAGGCUGAAAUGUUUGACAUGUGCCAAACAUUUGGACGCGUGCACGUUUCACCAGUGAGGAAUGGAGGCCUGCGCCGGACUUCUCUCCAACCACAGCUCUCUGGUCUGAAAGACACGGUAACGUUACAACCAUUCUGCUUUGACAGUUUCAGCCUAACAAGCAAAUUGAGCAAGAAUAGACCUGCAAGUGUCUCAUGAAGCCAUGCGGGAAGUGCAAGGUGGCCAUUUUGGAUCCUGCAGACAAAAGAAAAAGAACAAAUGUUUGCUUUAGUCAAUUUGACAAGAUGCUUUGCUAAUAAAAUAUUUUUGCCA